CUGCUGCACUGUGUGAGGUAAUAGGUAAACAUCUGAAAACUCUUGAGGGGAAGUUGUCAUUUUAUUUCUCUUCAGCCUCCACUGAAUGCCUUGACUGCUGUUGGAAAGGACAUGACUUUACAGGAGCAGGCGGAACUAACUGAACUGAAACAAGAUCGUGGUUUAAAGCUAAGAUUUGCUGAACUUCCUUUGGACAGUUUUUGGUUGACUGCUGCCAAGGAAUUCCCCAUUCUGGCCAACAAAGUUUUGACAUUGCUCCCAUUUUCCAGAACAUGUGUGCGAGCUUUUCAAGCCUAACUGCUAUAAAAACUAAAAACAGAGAGAGACUGAAAGCUGUUGAAGAGCUUCGUGUAUGCCUUUCUUCAAUUGCUGCCAGGAUAUCGGCUUUGUGUUCAUCUAAACAGGCCCAGGUUUCACACUGAGAAGCUGCAUUAAUCACGAUGAACCCAGGCUAUGCAGGCAGGACCGAGCUCCAGGACAACCUGGAGGCCCGCUUCAGAUCCGUCUCCAUGAUUGUACCCGACCACGCCGUCAUCGCAGAGAUGUGCUCUGGUGCCGUCAUUCAUUACAUUUUGUAAUGAACGCAAUAACGGAUGUAUUCUGGCGUAUUACAGAACCGUUUCCACGUUGAACCCGCUUGUUCACGUUGUAGGUGGACUUGUGAGCUGAGGGCUUCAAGUCCAGUGAGACUCUGGCGAGGAAGAUGAUUCAGCUGUAUAAGCUGUGCAGCAAGCAGCUUUCCCAGCAGGACCACUACGACUUCAGCAUGAGAGCCAUGUUCUGUUAUCGCCAUGGCCGGGUAUUUCCGUCUACGAACAGGAUGAACAGAUUAGAUUACAUUCAUUCGUUGUUUUUUCUAAGUUGUUAAUUAAAACUAUCUAUAAAUGUAACGGAUGUCUUGCUGGAAUAAAUUGAGUGUGUGUGUAUGUGUGUGUUCCAGGUCUCUGAAGCGAGAGAACCCACACCUGAGAACGUGGUGUUGAUUAGAGCGCUACGAUACUCCAACCUGACCAAGUUACUCAAGGAUGUUGCAGAACUUAAAAUAAUAUAAAUUGAUAAAUAGUAAAGAACGCCAAAGCUUACAUAUGGAGUAUCAAAGGUCAUUAUCACAGGAUCACUGGAAUCAGGCACUAGGAGGAAAUUCCAGGACAAAUUAGGAAAUACAGUCAAACCUUGGACUGCGAGUAACUUGGUUUGCGAGUGUUUUGCAAGACAAACAAAAAAUUUGAAUAAAUUUUAACGUGAUAUACGAGCGAGGUCUUGCAAUACGAGUACCUGUAGUACGUAUAUGAUGCUUUGUCGAGCGUCACGUGAUCACUACUGAGCUGAUGAUUCUUCUCUCACAUGCUCUGUCUCAGUCAGCGUGCCUCGUUGACUUGUAUAGUCAACAUCUGUGUGAGCAUAUACUGUUUGCUAUAGUGCUGUAACUGUUGUGACUGUGUAGUAAAUGUGCUGCGACAAUGGCACCAUGAAGAAAAAAUUUGAAAAGGAAGGCGAUAAGAAAAAGGAGAUUAUGGUGGAACUUAAGAAGGAAAUCAUCGAGAAGCACAAACAAGGUAUGCGAGUAGCUGAGUUGCGAGUAGUCAGUUGUCGAUGAAAUUGUGUCCUUGGGAAAGACCAUGGGACUGGAGAUGAAUGAAGAUGACAUUCAAGAGCUGGUGGAGGAACAUGGCCAGGAGCUGACUACCGAUGAACUGAUGGAUCUGCAUCACGAGCAACAGCAAGAGGUUAUGGGGGAGGUCUCGUCUGAGGAGGAGGAGGAGGAGGAGAAAAGACGGAGAAAUCCCUCACUUCAAAUGAGAUUAGGGAGGUGUGUAAAAUGUGGGAAACAGCGCAAAAUUUUGUAGAAAAGCACCACCCGAGUAAGACUGUAGCAGUGCGAGCAAUGAAUCUGUUUAACGACAAUGUAAUGUCACAUUUCCGCGAAAUCCUUAAAAGGAGGUAAAAGCAAGUGUCACUGGAUAGGUUCCUUGUUAACGUCGUACAAAAAGAAAAAGAUUCCGGCGAGCCAACAGACAGCAGUGAUUCCAUUAGUAACAGUGAAAGUCCC
Molecule: long non-coding RNA, 2050 nt
Organism: Ictalurus punctatus (channel catfish)
Lineage: Eukaryota; Metazoa; Chordata; Actinopteri; Siluriformes; Ictaluridae
Source: Ensembl